AGGUGCUCCAAGUUUCUGAUCAAUUUUGUGGCCCUCCCUCCUCUGGACCCAUUCUAACAGGUCAACAUCUUUCUUGUUCUGGGAGCCCCAGACCUGGAAGCAGUACUCCAGGUGGGGCCUCAUGAGGGCAGAGUAG
Molecule: long non-coding RNA, 136 nt
Organism: Cygnus olor (mute swan)
Lineage: Eukaryota; Metazoa; Chordata; Aves; Anseriformes; Anatidae
Exons: 3
Source: RefSeq, a predicted model, not a curated record